RNAcentral lists this unclassified non-coding RNA (329 nucleotides) under Hevea brasiliensis (rubber tree). The record is from RNAcentral. Lineage: Eukaryota; Viridiplantae; Streptophyta; Magnoliopsida; Malpighiales; Euphorbiaceae.
AUUUCUACGCAAAUGGGGUUGUUGAAAAUCUGAAAAAAGAUUCAAGAAUCGAAUUACACAAACUGAUUGCUGCAGAUUUCUACUGAAUUGAACUGAAUACUCAUCAAAAUGUAUAUUGAGCUGACAGUUUGUUGGAAUGGUUUUUACUUGUAACCUCUAGUGUUAGUUGGAGAUUACAAAAGCAUAAGCAAAUCUCAUUUUAGUUAUUAGGUUUUCGUGAACUCGCUCUUGCUAUUCUAGAUCCGUCUCUAAAUUCUCGAAGAAUAUAAUGAAAAAAUUUUAUUGUAAAAGAGUUAAUGAUAUAGUAGUAUUUAUUGAUGAGACUCGAG